This is a long non-coding RNA of Cylas formicarius (sweet potato weevil), 1257 nucleotides long. RefSeq lists it as uncharacterized. NCBI's taxonomy places the organism in Eukaryota, Metazoa, Arthropoda, Insecta, Coleoptera, Brentidae. The transcript has 3 exons. The record is from RefSeq and is a predicted model, not a curated record.
UUCAGUUACAAUACGUGGCCUUUAAAUUAGUUUUGAAAUGGAAAUUUCUUGUUAAAGUGUUACAUCUUGUGCCAUAGUAAUACUAGAAGGUGGGCAGAUGUAUAUGAAAUACCUACACUAAAAGAAUACAACGAAAUAAAAAAACAUUUUUUAUUGGAAUACGGGCUCAUUUUAAAAAACCAAUUAGUAAAAGAAAUAAAGCAUGCCAAUAAGGAAACUGAAAAUAAUUUACUGUUAGCUGUAAUUGAAGACGCUAAAACAUCAGUUUUUGAAAAUCUUCUAUUUUUGUGAAGAGGUCAAUAGUAUUAUGAUUAAAAGGCUGUCAAAUGAAUACGAAUUAAUGUAAUAACCUGGUUAAGGAUAGUAUAGUCCAGCAUACGAUGAAUAAAUGGAAGGCCUUUUAGCCGCAAUAAACCAAACAAUAAUCCAUUAGAGAGCCGAUUUACAAACGUUUAUCAGUACAGGGAGUUAUUUUCAUUUUAGUAGUGUCGACAGGUUAUAUAUUUUAAAAUCAUUUGCACUUUGCCAUUAGUGAUGUUACAGUCAUGAUUUGUUAUAUGUUGACCGUGGGUUGAAGAAAAUUUCGACGACCGAAUAGAGGAGAGUAACGAACCAAAAAGAAAAUGUCAUUUGAAUAUGUGCUGCAAGAGAAUCGUUUUACGAGUAUAUAAAGGAAUGGUGACGCAGAGUGGAUUCGCAGGGAAGAUUUCCACACAAAAUCGGAUUUAGAUUUAGAAAUAAUAACAAGUGUAGUUGCAUUAAACAGACUGAACGAUUACCAAAAAUAUAAAUUCAAAAAUGUCCGCCCCAUGAAUUAAUAUCAGGGGGCAGUUGGAGAGAAUGUGUUAAUCUUGUGCUUGAAGUAGAAAAUAAUAAAAAGCGAAACUAAGAAAAACUAAUCUGACGACUAAUUUUAUUUAAUAUAUUUUUAUAUGUAAUAUUAAUUAAUACGUACAUAUAUUUUGUGUUUCAGUUUCCUAACCUGGACCGGUUGGAUUUAUUGGCCCAAAUAUGCCUCGGAUCAGAUAAAUACGUUUAUACAUUAUUACAGUCAUGACCGUUUAUCUUCGGUCGGACUAUGCCAUACAACGGCAGCAAAAAAAUUUAGAUGGAGUCGCGAUCUGUGUCAGACCCGGGACUUAUCAGCCCACCCUCGUAUACCGAUUAUCUAUUUUAUUAUUGAUCGUAUGCACAAAAACCAGAAAUGUCAGCCGACGAGCGAGGUGGUCUUUUAACAUUUCAAAGAAGAUAUCGAGU